Molecule: ribosomal RNA, 433 nt
Filed under: uncultured bacterium
Lineage: Bacteria
Description: partial 16S ribosomal RNA
Rfam family: Bacterial small subunit ribosomal RNA
Source: RNAcentral
AACGAACGCUGGCGGCAUGCCUAACACAUGCAAGUCGAACGAGACCUUCGGGUCUAGUGGCGCACGGGUGCGUAACGCGUGGGAACCUGCCCUUAGGUUCGGAAUAACUCCCCGAAAGGGGUGCUAAUACCGGAUAAUGUCUUCGGACCAAAGAUUUAUCGCCUUUGGAUGGGCCCGCGUUGGAUUAGCUAGUUGGUAGGGUAAAAGCCUACCAAGGCGACGAUCCAUAGCUGGUCUGAGAGGAUGAUCAGCCACACUGGGACUGAGACACGGCCCAGACUCCUACGGGAGGCAGCAGUGGGGAAUAUUGGACAGUGGGCGAAAGCCUGAUCCAGCAAUGCCGCGUGAAUGAUGAAGGCCUUAGGGUUGUAAAGCUCUUUUACCCGGGAUGAUAAUGACAGUACCGGGAGAAUAAGCUCCGGCUAACUCCGUG